GGUCCUCGCGCCGGCUCAUGCCCAGCGCCCCGUAGCGACCCCCGAAGUUCACCCCCAGCACGAUGUGGCGGAAGUAGUUCCCUGAGAAGCUUGGGCCCAGCAUACAGUAGGCGCUCAAUGAUUACCGGCUGCUGCCAUGACUGCGAGCAGAGCUCACCAAGUAACAGUGAGCAAGGCACCCUCAACUGCCCGGCCUUCCAGAGUGAUGGGGUGAGAUAUCGUGCCCGCUGCUCUUCCGAUAAAACCAAGGUUGCUGGUGGCCUGGGAGGCAGUCAGCUGUCCACUCCAACCUCCACGGAGGACCGUCUACACCCGCUCUUCUCUCUGGCGGCUCCUUGGGCUCUCCUAGCUCCUUCUCAGGCCUCAGGCUUGGCUGGGACCGCUGACCUCCCUUCCUAAAGCAAAUCUGCUGUCCUUAUGUUCCCCGUGGCACAUCACCACAAUCUGUAUUAUUUUUCUUAUUUCUUGGUUUACUUGCUUACUUUUUGUCCCCCUGGCUAGAAUAUAAACUUUUAAUGGGGACCACCUUGUCUGUCAUUUUUUUUUUUCUACUGUAUCUCUGGGGCCCAGCACAGACAUGGCACAUGACAGGCACUCAAAACUCUUUUUGAACAAAUGGGUAGAAUGAGAUGGACAGGAUAAAAGCUUGGCAUACAGACCAGGUAGACACUGCAUCCAGUGUCCAACGUGCACCUUGUUGUUUAACUGUAUUAACAAACUUGUGGGAUGGGAUUGCCAUUGUUCCCUUCUGCAGAAGAGGACUCCGAGGCCCAGAGAUGCUAAGGAGCUUGCUUGAGGCCACAGUGAGGAUGCAGCAGAGCUAGGAUUCAGGUCCAGGCUGGCCUGACCCUGCAGUCUGUGCACAGUCACUGCGAUGCUGACCAGGCCUGACUCCUUGCAAGCAAAUGACUGGGAACACAGGUGAGCCAGGUGCAGGCUCUGAGUGCGGUGAGGAUGAGACCGGGAACAGACUUAGUACAGUGCGCAUCACGUGUUCAGAAGGGAGCUGUGGCAGUUCUAUGGGGACAGCAGGGAGAUGUCCCGUCCAGAUGGGGAGCUACUCCUAUUUUCUUCCUGCCCACAAGCCAGCAGGUAACCCCUGGAAGGCCUCUGGGACCAUGUGAUCCCGUCUGGACUAGCUUCUCUAUAUGCUCACGGGGAGGGGAGCAGGGUGUCCCUCCUACAAGGGGGUGGGAACCUCCACUUUGGAGUGUGGUCCUGAAGGAGAAGCAAACGUGGGGUGGUGAAGGAGGCGCUGGCAGCGGCCUGGAGUCCCUGGGCUGGCCUCACACUCGUCCCAGCAGAGAACCCUUUGGACAAGGCAAUGCUGGUGGGUCCCUUUGGGCAGCAAAGGACUGCCACAGUGGGAUUAGCCCUCAGGGAGGAGGACUGGGGGGUCACCCCUGCAGUCUCUGUGUACAG
Molecule: non-coding RNA, 1422 nt
Organism: Odocoileus virginianus texanus
Lineage: Eukaryota; Metazoa; Chordata; Mammalia; Artiodactyla; Cervidae
Source: RefSeq, a predicted model, not a curated record